Molecule: ribosomal RNA, 239 nt
Filed under: uncultured bacterium
Lineage: Bacteria
Description: partial 16S ribosomal RNA
Rfam family: Bacterial small subunit ribosomal RNA
Source: RNAcentral
GCGUUGUCCGGAUUUAUUGGGCGUAAAGCGCGUGUAGGCGGCCAGGUAGGUCCGCUGUGAAAACCCGAGGCUCAACCUCGGGACGUCGGCGGAAACCAUCUGGCUAGAGUCCGGAAGAGGAGAGUGGAAUUCCUGGUGUAGCGGUGAAAUGCGCAGAUAUCAGGAAGAACACCCGUGGCGAAGGCGGCUCUCUGGGACGGUACUGACGCUGAGACGCGAAAGCGUGGGGAGCGAACAGG